ACCAGCGGCGAUAGCACGUUGAAUACACCAGUUCCCCACGGAUCACUGAAGUUAAGCAAUGUUGCACGCGGUUAGUACAUGGAUGUUGACCAUCGGGGUACUUGCAUGCUGCUGGGU
RNAcentral lists this ribosomal RNA (117 nucleotides) under Diaphorina citri (Asian citrus psyllid). The record is from RNAcentral. Lineage: Eukaryota; Metazoa; Arthropoda; Insecta; Hemiptera; Psyllidae.